UGAUGAAGAUAGAAUUGUAUAAUAUAUUAUAUCUUUAAUUAUUGAUUUGUCUUGUUGGUCAAGUUAGUUUGUUUCCUUUUAGAUGUUUAGGGUUUUAUUAUAAAUAGGAGUUUUAUUUAUGUUUUAGGGGAGUCGAAUUGAGAGUUAAAAUGUAGAGGGUGGGAUUGUUCCCUUCUCGCGGUGUUCUUCCGGUAUUCAUGAGUGAAUCAACGGAUUAACC
This 220-nucleotide long non-coding RNA is filed under the name Salvia miltiorrhiza (redroot sage). Its description in RNAcentral is "long non-coding RNA (SMIL_LNC013223)". The record is from RNAcentral. Lineage: Eukaryota; Viridiplantae; Streptophyta; Magnoliopsida; Lamiales; Lamiaceae.